UUGAAUUUUAAUGAAGAGUUUGGUUGUAGCUGGCCCAUUCAUUUGGGCAUGUGCACACCUUCCUCUUCCAUCCCACACACACCUGUGAACCUGUGAGACAGAGAUGGGGAAUUUACUUGCUGCUUUUUGGAAUACAAAGGCAAUAGGUUAUUGGACCCCCCCUCUGUCUACUCAAUUAAUAUAAACUCAAUUUAUUUUAAAACGAAUGUAAUGGAUGUAACACAUCUCAUAC
Molecule: unclassified non-coding RNA, 232 nt
Filed under: soil metagenome
Description: partial internal transcribed spacer 1
Source: RNAcentral